Molecule: long non-coding RNA, 1122 nt
Organism: Nicotiana tabacum (common tobacco)
Lineage: Eukaryota; Viridiplantae; Streptophyta; Magnoliopsida; Solanales; Solanaceae
Source: RefSeq, a predicted model, not a curated record
UAAAUAAAAAACCUAGAUCCCUAAGACUUUAGCUAUCAGUCGUUAUUCUAAAGUUGGCACCCCAAAAAAAAUCAAGGAAGCUUCCGUCUUCUUCAUCUUGGACAAAACCAAAAAUCAAAAACACCUUGAAGAGGACCUAUUUCCGAAAAAAGGCUUGAGAGCACUCAAAAAUUGGAGACUCUCGUCUCUCUAUUAUACACGCCGGCGGAUUCCCCUUCCCCACCUUCAGACUUCAAUUUUCUUUGUGUUUUCAAUUGGAAAACAAUCACAACAAGCACACACACAUUGGAAAAGGAGGACGGAUUUGGGGGGAAGAGAAUAAGAUUUAAGAAAAUUUGGGUUCAAAAAUGGUGUCAGGUUGAAGUGGGUGUCCGAUUUGGAGUGUCUGUUUGAGAUCGAUUCUGGGUUCCGGUUUCAUCUUGCUGCUGUAUUUUUGUCGUGCUUUCUUCUUGGCGAAGCAAUGUGGAAAUUUUCUUUACAUAUCAAAUAAGAAGCACUUAACAGGUGUGGAUCUACUUAUCGGAGUUUGGGCAUUACAGACGCCCUAGGACCAUCCAGUCAGAGUCGCUCAUUCAGGAGUUUGCUUAAGGAGAUUUUUUUAGUUAUUAUGUUUUGAGUCUGUUGUUCUUUUUAUGUCAUCUUUUACUUUCUAGUUUUGAACAGUAAUGUCGAGUCUUUUAGGUGAUGUUAGAGUCUGUCAUAGUCUAUUUAAGUUUGCCGAGUCUUUUGUUAUUGUAUUUGUGUGUGGUGAAAUCAGAGGAAUCCAUCUCCCGCCAUUAAGGUAUAUUCGAAAUGUCAUGACAGCACCUCGAGGCUGUGGGAUCAUGAUCGGGCUCCCUAUCUUGAGGAUUAUCCGCGGCCCUGCAAUGGCUUCGAUGUUAAGGGAUCUGUCCGCGGCCCAGCAAAAGUUACGAAGACGGGGGACUCCCGAGGCAAGUAGCUAGAAUUAAUAGGCUCUGGUAUCUUGUCUAGCCGUCUCAUCCCCUUAUCUUUACAUUUAAUGCACUAUGUACCAUACCGUGUUCCCUCGCCUAUAUAAGAGGAACCCAUACCAUUUUGUAAAGGGCUGAUGUUGCUCCAUUUUCUCCAAGUGCAAUAAUAUCUUCUCUCUCUCUUCUCUAA